RNAcentral lists this ribosomal RNA (459 nucleotides) under uncultured bacterium. RNAcentral's name for it is "partial 16S ribosomal RNA". It matches the Rfam family "Bacterial small subunit ribosomal RNA", at positions 338 to 795 of the family's 1533-position model. The record is from RNAcentral.
CCUACGGGAGGCUGCAGUGAGGAAUAUUGGGCAAUGGGCGGAAGCCUGAACCAGCGAAGUAGCGUGCGGGAUGAAGGCCCUACGGGUCGUAAACCGCUUUUGCACGGGGAUACCACCCUCCACUUGUUGAGCUCUGCAGGUACCGUGCGAAUAAGGGCAGGCUAAUUCCGUGCCAGCAGCCGCGGUAAUACGGAAGGCCCGAGCGUUAUCCGGAUUCAUUGGGCUUAGAGGGAGCGUAGGCGGGCGUUCAAGUCAGCUGUAAAAUCGCGCGGCUCAACCGCGCACCGCAGUUGAAACUGGACGCCUUGAGUUCACAACAGGCAGGCGGAAUUCGUGGUGUAGCGGUGAAAUGCAUAGAUAUCACGAGGAACCCCGAUUGCGAAGGCAGCCUGCCGGGGUGCGACUGACGCUGAGGCUCGAAGGUGCGGGUAGCAAACAGGAUUAGAUACCCUUGUAGUC